RNAcentral lists this ribosomal RNA (171 nucleotides) under Eleutherodactylus andrewsi (Andrew's robber frog). RNAcentral's name for it is "partial 16S ribosomal RNA". Lineage: Eukaryota; Metazoa; Chordata; Amphibia; Anura; Eleutherodactylidae. The record is from RNAcentral.
CUAAAAACCUAGCCUAACACUUACCCACACACUAAUUCAUAAACCAAAAUAUUUUAACAAUUCAGUAAAGAAGAUAGAAAAAUUUAUUAGAGCCAUAAACAUGUACCGCAAGGGAAACGUGAAAUAAUAAUGAAAUACUUUUAAAGUACAAAAAAGUAGAGUUAAAUCCUC